UAGAGUAAUUCCACUUCUUUCUACCAGUUCUGCAGUUUGGCAGUGGAAUCUGAUUGGGACAAAAUUUGGCUGUGGUGGUCCAUCUAGAAAACCAUGCAUUUACUUUGGGAAGGCCUUUGCAAGGAAUGUCUAUGCUGUCAUCUAACUCUAUACUGCAGUAUGCGAUUUUUGUCUCAUAUCUAUGACAUGCCUUUUUCAGUGGCACCUUUAAUGAGGAGAUACUCCGGUAUGGUUUGACAGCUAUAAGCCAAACUAAUUACACAAUCUAAGAUCUUAAGUUUCUUUAAACAUCCUGGAUUGACAAGAGCAUGUUGUUUAAAAUUCAUCCUAAGAGCAAAAUGUGGAAGACCCAAAUUUGCCAGGGC
Molecule: long non-coding RNA, 365 nt
Filed under: Dromaius novaehollandiae (emu)
Lineage: Eukaryota; Metazoa; Chordata; Aves; Casuariiformes; Dromaiidae
Description: lncRNA (ENSDNVG00000006287.1)
Source: RNAcentral